AACCCCAGUUUCCCGAGUGAUAAUUCAUUGCUCAACUUCAACAAGUGUUGGGAGAAGAGACAACCUCUGACUAUCUAAUUUGGAACUUUCUAAAACUUCCACGGAGAGGCCUUUCUUCAGAAGUCCUCUCAUCUACACGCAUUUCGGUCUUCAUGCGGGAGCUGAGCCCUAGAAAGACGCGACCAAUCCAGAAGUUUUCCCUUGGUCCCUAACACCACGUUGACACGAAGAAACUCCUAGGCAUUUCUCAGAAACGAAGGCAGUGAGAGACUGGCAGACGGGAAAGUCCAUCUGCCGAGUAUGGCUUCCUGGAAAUGCCCUCGAAAGCAGAUGAAGGAGAAGCGGCUUCAAAAAGGCAAGGAGAGCUCAACCUCUUCAGAAGGGCAAAGACAGCUGAGCCCCUUCAAUACUGCCAGCCCUGGCUCCCCACUUCAGCCUGACUCUGUCCUGAAUGGAAUGGAUAAUCAGUAAUAGUGCUUGGAGUGGAUGAAGAAAUGGUGCCUUCUGGGAUGUAGACUGAGCAGCUCUACAGAUAACUGGAGCUUUAGGUUCUUGGCUUCCCUUUUCCCACAAGUUCUCACUCUUGCUUGUGUUUUUUAAUUUUAUUUUUUGUAGUUGUUGAUGGA
Long non-coding RNA from Marmota monax (woodchuck), 626 nucleotides. RefSeq lists it as uncharacterized. The transcript is spliced from 2 exons. The record is from RefSeq and is a predicted model, not a curated record. NCBI's taxonomy places the organism in Eukaryota, Metazoa, Chordata, Mammalia, Rodentia, Sciuridae.